This 72-nucleotide transfer RNA is filed under the name Camelus bactrianus (Bactrian camel). It matches the Rfam family "tRNA". Rfam says of the family: Transfer RNA (tRNA) molecules are approximately 80 nucleotides in length. Their secondary structure includes four short double-helical elements and three loops (D, anti-codon, and T loops). Further hydrogen bonds mediate the characteristic L-shaped molecular structure. tRNAs have two regions of fundamental functional importance: the anti-codon, which is responsible for specific mRNA codon recognition, and the 3' end, to which the tRNAs corresponding amino acid is attached (by aminoacyl-tRNA synthetases). tRNAs cope with the degeneracy of the genetic code in two manners: having more than one tRNA (with a specific anti-codon) for a particular amino acid; and 'wobble' base-pairing, i.e. permitting non-standard base-pairing at the 3rd anti-codon position. The record is from Rfam by way of RNAcentral. RNAcentral also lists the same sequence under 2 other names. Lineage: Eukaryota; Metazoa; Chordata; Mammalia; Artiodactyla; Camelidae.
GAAGGUAUAGCUCAGUGGUAGAGCGUGUGCUUAACAUGCGCAAGGUCCUGGGUUCCAUCCCUGGCGCCUCCA